RNAcentral lists this long non-coding RNA (528 nucleotides) under Toxoplasma gondii VEG. Lineage: Eukaryota; Apicomplexa; Conoidasida; Eucoccidiorida; Sarcocystidae. The record is from RNAcentral.
GUUCCAAAGAGGAUUGUGAAGAGCUCGGAAAGACAAGGCACGGCUUCUCCAAGCAGCAAAGUCUCAGUCUGCACCGCCUUCGUGUUCUGUUGCUGAAGUACAUCUUUUUUAAGGUUUCGGCCUUGUGGCGCUUGCCUCGCCGUAUACGACUAACGCCAUAUUAUGGGCGACUUGCAUAGGACUCCCAGCGAGUUCCCAAUUUCUGAGUAACACAUAAACGGCAGAGGAAUCCUCGAAACUUGCUAAAUCAGGUUGUAGCUUUACAUCUAGGGUAUAACUCUGAGCGUGAACCGCGGAAGCAGACGCAGCCUACAGCUGCCUACGCGUGGCUAAGCUGGUGUUCAACGAUAGUAGUGCCUGCCCUUCCCACUGUUGUGCCGGGAAAGGGUGGUAUUUUUCAGCAGAACAAACUGUGGCGCCCAAUACCAAUUCUAGUCUUCAGACGAGAGGCUCAACUGUAGCCCUCUUCGGCUGUAGGACGAGGACGAUCUGGUCGGAACCGUCCCGGCGCAUUUACUACGUGUCUCC